RNAcentral lists this transfer RNA (73 nucleotides) under Trichonephila inaurata madagascariensis. It matches the Rfam family "tRNA". From Rfam's summary of the family: Transfer RNA (tRNA) molecules are approximately 80 nucleotides in length. Lineage: Eukaryota; Metazoa; Arthropoda; Arachnida; Araneae; Nephilidae. The record is from Rfam by way of RNAcentral.
GUCCCUGUAGCGCAAUGGAUUGGGCGUUGGACUUCUAUUCCAAAGGUCGUGGGUUCGAAUCCCACUUUGGAUA